Podarcis lilfordi (Lilford's wall lizard) is the source of this 184-nucleotide non-coding RNA. The record is from the annotation of a GenBank genome assembly. Lineage: Eukaryota; Metazoa; Chordata; Lepidosauria; Squamata; Lacertidae.
UAUGCUGGAGAAAAGCAAACACAUUUUGUUCUCACUAAACUUCUAGCUAAUGCACGUGUUACUUUAAACCACAUGAGGGCACUGUUUGUCUAACAAAACAGUGCCCUCAUGUGGUUUAAAGUAGCACAUGCAUUAGUUAGAAGUUCAGUGAGAAGAAAAUGUAUUUGCUUUUUUUCCAGCAUGC